GGGGCGGUAGCUCAGUUUGGUCAGAGCAGCGGAAUCAUAAUCCGCCGGUCGUGGGUUCGAGCCCCACCCGCCCCA
RNAcentral lists this transfer RNA (75 nucleotides) under Candidatus Nanopelagicales bacterium. RNAcentral describes it as "tRNA-Met". It matches the Rfam family "tRNA". From Rfam's summary of the family: Transfer RNA (tRNA) molecules are approximately 80 nucleotides in length. The record is from RNAcentral. Lineage: Bacteria; Bacillati; Actinomycetota; Actinomycetes; Candidatus Nanopelagicales.